Molecule: long non-coding RNA, 2665 nt
Organism: Mus musculus (house mouse)
Lineage: Eukaryota; Metazoa; Chordata; Mammalia; Rodentia; Muridae
Product: predicted gene 16341
Exons: 4
Source: RefSeq, a predicted model, not a curated record
AUGUGUGUGUAUGUAUGUAUGUAUGUGGUAUGUGUGUGUGUCUGUAUAUGACAUAAACCUGACAGGUGAGAUAUAACAGCUGAACCAUCUUACAGACAGACAGAGGUCCUCUCUGUAAGUCAGGGGCCCAAGAAGGAGCAAGGAGGAGAUGGGAGGAGAUGGAAGAGCAGGGGAGAGCAGGGAGACUCCUCCGAGCCUGGGGUAUCUUACACAUAAGAGUCUAGUUGAAUUCUUGGAAUUUCCUUUAGCUAACGUGUUAAGAGCAGGCAGUCUCUGUCCUAAGUCCUUCCAUAUUGUAUAUAGCAGUAUUUUCCAGGCUGCCCCUUGCCCUGAGAGGCACUAUUUUACAAGCGGCUUUUGGCUUCAUUUUGAGUACAAAUGCUGUCGUACAUGAGAUGCAGGCGGAUAAAUAACUUAUUCCUAUAAGUAGGAAAGGUGUCGCCCUUUAUAUUUAUCAAAGUAAAUUGGGACCAUGUGAGCGUAUGAGCACAGUCCUCUCAGGAAAAUGAGGCCUGAGGACUUAAGGCACACACCAGACAGAGGAAACGGUGGAACAUUGCCACCUGGACCCCACGAAAGGACAGGCCCCCUACCCUGCCAUGGGCUCUAGUCCCACUGACCUGUCUGUCACCUGACCACCUGGGUUUUAUGUCAGUGGACUGACAGAAUUUCUGACUGUUCAGGGGCUUCAGUUUGGCUGACUCCCUGAUGUUGACACACCCUCCUUGAACUGCUAUCUUUCCAUCUGUCUGUCCAUCUGGACCUGCCAUCCAUCUGUCCAUCCUUCUGGACUGGUCUAGAUCCUCACCCCUGAUGCAAGACUCAACGUUGAGGCUCAACUCUGCUCUGCCGGCAGCCAGGCUCUGUAGUGGUAACUGUCAGUGGUAGCUCCGGCGCCUCUCCAGCCUGGUAUGUUACUAUCUCACCUCUCUACCCCCAGCCCAACUCUCUUUGUGUUCCUAUCAGCUUCUGUCUCUUAGGCCGCUUUGAAACUCCUUCAGAGCUUUAUCUUCCAAGAGUCUCAACUAGAUUUAAAUGGAGGACGCCCCAUGCUUUGAAGUCCAACUCCUUGCCUCCUUCUUGGCCUCUGACUUGAAGGGAGGACCCAGGCCUGCUGAGACAUCUUAAACUUUAGUGUACAUUCUGUAGCUUACAACUAUACCCGUAUACAUAGAUAGAUUUGCUAGGAGAUCUGUAAUGUAUGACCUGAGUUAAUAUUAGUAAUUAAGGUUGGAAUGAAAGAAUCUGUGUUUUCCUCAGCCAAGGCUAGGGAGGAGAGUGGAACAAGCUAAUGAAUUGCCCUCAGUGAAACGUCUUCACUCUGAGAAUUUGUUAUUCAAUAAAACGUGGUCCUCUAUGUUUCUGACAGAGCAUGUAUGUGUGUGCGCAGGACCCAAAGGAAGACUAGACUCCAAAGAAAUGCAGAUCACAGGGGAAGGAGUCAGGAAUGGAGGAAGUGAGGCAACUUGUGCCAGCUCUAGGGAACCCAAGGUCACAGGAGAAGCCAGGAAGACCCUUGGACAGACAUGAGCUGAGACCUCACAGAGAAGAGACAAAGUUUGCAAACAGGGAAAUGGCCCAAUAAAGACCCAACAGACCCAAUGGAGAGAGGAACAGGAAUGGGGUACAGCUCCUUCACUUGGACCUUAUAAUAUGGCCAACACUGACUGACAUCCGAUACCUGCCAAGAAUCCUAACAGAAGUCCCAAGGAUCCAAGUGCAUAUCGGAUGAACACUCUCCUUUCCCAAGAAGCGAUGACUCAUGGUGGAAGCCUGGGACACCAGACUUCAGAAGCGUGAGUGUGGCAGUGUGCCAGCAGGAAGGUGUUGCAGGAACAUCCAAGUCAACCCAAGGAAGCCCUCAGCUGAAGAUGACCUUUAACUUUUGAUUCUCCUGCUUCUACUGUAAGUGCUGAGAUUACGGGUAUGUGCUGUCACGUCUGUUUUUAUAGUGCUAAAGAUCAGACCCAGGGCUACAGCCUCAGUCCAUUUCCUUUUUUUUUAAAAAAGAUUUAUAUGUAUGAGUGUUUUGUCUGCACAUACGCAUGUGUGUGCCCAGUGCCCACAGAGCUCAGAAGACGGUGUUGGAUCCCCUGGAACUGGAGUUUUGGAUGGUUAUGAGACACUAUGCAGAUGCUAGCAAUGAAAACCAGGUCCUCUGCAAGAGUUGCGAGUGCUCAUGACUACUGAGCCAACUCUCCAGCCCCUCCUUGUUUUUUAAUAGAAUGCAUUGAGUUAUAUAACAUGCUUUUAAGUCCUGGUAAGAGCUAUGUUAAACCCAACUUACAGAACUCCUGGUAAUUUCGGAAGACGUUCUUGGAAACACACUCCAGUCUAACGCUGUCCCCUGCCCAGGUCCUGGUGGGCUCUGUGCUCCCAGGUACCCUCAGGGUUCUGAAUCCAUGGUCUUUACUACAACUUCCCUGCCCACCCCACCCUAGGCCCUCAGAGCUCAAAGCUCUCAUCCAGCCAGCAGCCUUGAUCUGCUCUGGUACUGAGAACCUCUGGCCAACCCUGUAAGGAAAGUACUCUCAAAGGCAGCCAUCCCUGUCUCUAGUUCUGAUUGUGGCGGCAGCCCCCCUGUACCCCUCUCCCCGUCUCCCUGGAAACUCUCGUCCUUAAAAAAAAAAAAAGGUUUUAUUAUGUGUAUGUGUGUGGGCGCGCA